AAAAAUCAAAGAGAGUUAAAAAACAGAAAAAGGGAGAAGGCAGACUUUUGAGAGCUGAAUAUCCAAAAAAUAGAGAGCUUACACGUUCUGAAAGUCUGCGAUAUUUUAAGAGAUAAGAAUCCAGAACAUACAAGACGGCUUAAAAGCUUACUGAUUUAUCAAACUUUUCAGUGAUUUUGAAGUUUUGACUUAUAAAAGCAAAUUCUAAAUCAUGUAGUAUGAAGAUGGAUUGAAUUUGGUUCUCUUUUAAGCAUUGGUUGGAAGUUUGUUUUGGUUUUUCUUCAUGCGAAUUGUUUUCUGUGCCGCUUAACUCCAUUCCUGGGUUUGGAGUUGAUUUCAUCUUUUUCUGGUUGCUGAAAUCUGGUUGACUUCUGUUGUUACUACUAGUGAUCUCUCACCUUUUGUUGUUUUGUUAUUUAAUAUCAGGUACACAUCCCUGAAUUCCUACAAUGUGAUACUCAAAUUGGAAGUUGAGAAACGGAAAUGGC
Molecule: long non-coding RNA, 488 nt
Filed under: Nicotiana benthamiana
Lineage: Eukaryota; Viridiplantae; Streptophyta; Magnoliopsida; Solanales; Solanaceae
Description: long non-coding RNA (NBEN_LNC024608)
Source: RNAcentral